Long non-coding RNA from Hypanus sabinus (Atlantic stingray), 11786 nucleotides. RefSeq lists it as uncharacterized. NCBI's taxonomy places the organism in Eukaryota, Metazoa, Chordata, Chondrichthyes, Myliobatiformes, Dasyatidae. The record is from RefSeq and is a predicted model, not a curated record. The transcript has 6 exons.
AUUAUAAUUACUGUUACAGUCUGCUGCAUUGUUUUUUAUUCUGAGAUUCUCUGACUGACCAGCAGCAAACUCUCCCUACCAUUGAGAGAACAAAAGAGAGAGAUAGAGAGCGAGAGUGAGUGAGAGAGAGAGAGAGUGAAUGAGAGAGAGAGUGAGUGAGUGAGAGAGAGAGUGAGUGAGUGAGAGAGAGAGUGAGUGAGAGAGCAAGAGAGGGGGAGAGAGAAAGUGCGAGAGAGGGAGAGAGAGACAGAGAUAAAGAGAGGGAGAGAGAGAGAGGAGAGACAGAGACAGAGAGAGAGAGAGAGACAGAGGGAGAGAGAGCACAAAGCAUCAGUUGUGUUAUACUGUUUACUUUUCAACUUGUGUUAUAAAGGCACCUUAUUAGUCAAUUUAUGUGUGAUAGUAUUACUGUAUGUGUUGUGUGUGAGUCAUAUGUACUGUGUUGUGCACAUUGAUCCAGAAGAACAUUGUUUCAUUUACUGGGACAGAUGAAUACACUUCAGUGGCAAUAAACUUGAACUUGAAUUCUGGGAGGGAGAGUGUUGAUAAGAAUCUGAGGAGAAUAAAACAGGAUUAGUGUAGGAUCAUGGUAAGUGGGUGGCUGAUAGUUCACGUGGACUUGAUGGGCCAAAUAGCCUGUCGGUAUGCUGUAUGAUUAAACAUACAGAGGGUGCCAGAAGAGGUUUAUCAGGAAGCUGCCUGCAUUAGAGGGCAUGUGCAGUAAGGAGAGGUUGUACAGACUGAGGUUGUUUUCUCCGAGGAGAGAUCUGAUGGCAGUUUAUAAGGUUAUGAGAGGCAUAGAGUUGACAGAUUGUAUCUUUAUCCCAGGGUCAAAAUGUUUAAUACCAGAGGCAUGCAUUUAAGGUGAGCAGGGAUAAUUUCAAAGGAGAUGUGAAGGGCAAGUUUUACAUAGAGUGUGGUGGGUGUUUGGAAUGCGCUGCCCGGGGGGUGGGGUAGUAGAGGCAGAAACAUUAGGGACUUUUAAGAGAUGUUUAGAUAGACACGUGAAUGUGAGGGAAAUGGCAGGAUAUGGACAUUGUUUGGGCAGAAAGGAUUAGUUGAAUUGGUCAUUUGAUUGGCUCGGUACAGCACUGUAGGUCGAAGGGCCUGCCCCUGUGCCGUAUCGUCCUGUAUGUGGAUAUCACCCAGGAAAAUUCUCAAUAGGCUUUGGGAAUUCCCGCAAUGAACAGUCACAUAAAAAUCUCUUCCAGGAACAUAUAAAAGCAAAAUCUGCUCCGAGAAGGACAUAAUCUUCCUCCCCCACCUGCCCGAGGCGGCUUGCGGUGUGGACUUGUGGAAGUGCGUAGGUCUGACCUACUGGGAGUGGCAGUCUCUGAACCCACUCUGAACCAUCGGGGGUUUAUAGCUCACUUUCAAAGAGCCCAGAAGUGAUGAGGUUCCUUGAAUUAAAUGUUUGCACUGGUAUUUGAACUUCUGACUCUGGCAUCACUAGUACAGCACAUUAACAACUAACCAGGCGUGGGUUAACUAGAAAUAUAACUCUGUCUCUCUGCAAACUAAGCUGCCUGUUCAUGAGCAUUUUUAGCAUUUCUUGUGCUUCCUUCGGUUUUCCAGCCAUUGUAGUGUGGUGUACGGUGCUUUUCGUGCCAUGAUGACUACCUCACCCGGUUUCAACAGUGAACUCUUUGUAACCCAAAUCUCUAAGCAAGUUCCCCACGCAGAAGAUGCCUGUAGCUUCACAGCAGCUGGGAAAUCUCGCUGCUUCCCGUGACCACGUGGGUUUCCUCCGGUUGCUCUGGUUUCCUCCCACAGCCCCAAGGAUAUUGGGGUUUGGUAGGUAAGGAGUUUGGAUGUUCUCCUCCUGAAUGCGUGGAGUUUCCUCCAAGUGCUUCGCUUUCCACCCGCAUUCUAAAGACUGUAAGACACAGUAGAACUAGGCCAUUCAGCCCUUUGCAUCUUCUCCUACAUAGGGGUUAGUAGGGCAGUUGGUCACAUGGGUGUAAUUGAGCAGCAUGGGCUUGAUGGGCCGGAAGGCUUUUACCUUGCAGUGUCGGGAAGUCUUUGCUAUGGAGGCACAAGAGACUGCAGGCGUUAGAGUUUGGAGAUAAAAAUAAGCUGAGUCAGGCCGCUUCUGUAGGGAGAGAUGUUCGUUCGGCAUUUUUCCUAUCAUUGUUUUUAAGUUGACACCGUGAUUGCCAUACACAGUUUUGGUCUCCUUACCUAAAGGAGGGUAUCUUUGCCUUGAUAAGGCUCACUCAAUUAAUUCCAAAUUUCAAAGUUCAAAGUAAAUUUGAUUAUCAAAGUACACACAUAUCACCAUAUACAACCAUGAGAUUCAUUUUCUUGUGGGCAUACUCAAUAAAUCCAUAAAAUAACAACCAUAGAAGAAUCAGUGAAAAAUUGCACCAACUUGAAUGUUCAACUAGUGUGCCAUAGGCAACAAACCGUGCAAAUAUAAAAAAGAAAGAAAUAAUAUUAAUAAUAAUAAAUAAGCAAUAAAUAUUAAAAACAUGAGAUGAAGAGUCCUUGAAGGUGGGUCCGUUGGUUGUGGGAAUAUUUCAGUGAUGGGGUGAGUGAGGUUGAGUGAAGUUACCUCCUCUAGUUCAAGAGCCUGUUGUUUGAGGGAUAAUAACUGUUCCUGAAUCUGGUGGUGCAAGUCCUGAUGCUCCUGUACCUUCUUCCUGAUGGCAGCAGCGAGAAGAGAGCAUGACCUGGGUGGUGAGGGUCCCUGAUGAUGGACACUUUGUGUAGAUGUGCUCAAUUCUGGGGAAGGCUUUACCUGUGAUGGGCUGGUCUAUAUCCACUACUUUUUGUAGGAUUUUCCCGUCAAGGGCAUUGGUGUUUCCAUACCAGGCUGUGAUGCAGCCAGUCAAUACACAUCCAUGGAAGUUUGCCUAAGUUUUAGAUGUCAUGUUGAAUCUUUUCAAACUCCUAAAGAAGUAGAGGUGCUGCAUGCUUUCCUUGUAACUGCACUGACCUGCUGGGCCCAGGACAGGUCACAAAUGACACAGAUGGAUUUAAAGUUGAUGACUCUCCACCUCUGAUUCUCCAAUGAGGUCUGGCUCAUGGACCUCUGUUUUCCUCCUCCUGAAGUCAAUAAUCAGCUCCUUGGUCUUGCUGAUACUGAGUAAGAAGUUGUUGUCAUGACACCACCACUCAGCCAGAUUUUCAAUCUCCCUCCUAUUUGCUGAGUCGUCACCACCUUUGAUUCAGCCAAUGACUGUGGUGUCGUCAGCAAUGUUGAAUAUGGCAUUGGCUUGGCCACACGGGAGGGUUACCAACUAUAAUACUGAAGGAGGCCUUCCAGCCCAUCGUAUCCAGGCCAUUUCCCAGCGGAGCAAUCCCAUCAGUCCCAUUCUCCCUCCUUAUUUUCCUUUCAGCCUACAGUUUUGCAUUCUUACAUGCCCAUCAGCUCCCCUUUGAUAGUUUGCCACUCACCUGUAGUAAGGGGUCAUGUUACCUGCCAGAUAACCUUACAGCAGAUAAAAGGAUGUGGAGUAAAAUGAAGCAACCAGAAGAAAGCAACACGCAAACUGGUCACAAGCAGUACCCAAGGUAAAGAUCAGUCGCAGCACCCUGGAGCCCAUGAGGCAGUGAUCUACCCAGUACUGCACAGUUUGGUAUUAUGAGGAAAUUUAAGCUUUUUGAGGUUUUACUAUCAGAUGAAUGAAGUCUGUUUUCGUUAAGACAGAAAAAAAUUGUGAGGGGUUUUACCAGCACCAAUGUCAUGGGAUACAGUAUUAUCCCUUUAGAAGAGGGGCCUAGUCUCAGGUCACCCAUUUCCAACUGAGAAUGAGGUGGGGAGGAACUUAUUCAAUUUGAGGCUCCUUCAGCCUUACGUCCCUCCCCACCAGGUUCAGGAACAGUUCAACCAUCGGGCUCCUGACCCAGCGUGGCCAUCUUCACUCACCUCAACACUGAACUGAUCACUGAUCACAACCAAUGGACUCACUUCAAAGACUCCACAACUCGUGUUCUUGGUACUAUCUAUCUAUCCAUCUAUCUAUCUAUUUAUUUAUUUAUUGCAUUUGCACAGUUAGUCUUCUUUUGCAUGUUGGUUGUUUGCCUGCCUUUGCUUGUGUGUAGUUUCUCAUUGAUCUAUCAUACUGUGAAUACCUGCAAGAAAAUGAUUCCCAGGGUGGCAUGUGCUGACAUAUAUGUACUUUGAUAAUAAAUUACUUUGAACUUGAGCCAUAAAAUACAUCCAAGCUGAGGUAUUUAGGGUUUAGAGCAGGGGCUCCCAGCCCUUUUUAUGCCAUGGACCCCUACCAUUAACUGAAGGGUCCGUGGACUCUAGGUUGGGAACCUCUGCUUUAGGGGAACCAAGAGUUUGGGGAGUAAAAUGGACGAGAAGCUAUCGAUUAGAUCAGCCGCAAUGGUGGAGUUGGCUCAAGGGGCUGACUGACUAUUCCUGUUCCGAUUUCCAUGCUAUUUUGUUUCUCCCGCAGCAUUUGAAUGUCAUACCUGUUCUAUCCGACUUUUUCCGGUGCAUCUACCUGUCACGUGACGGCUCAAGACUAGAGCUAGAAAACUAGAGAUAGCAGCAUACUAUCAGAAGCAUGAAAAUCAGCCUGAGGUUAUCAAUCUGUGUCGGCCUUAUGCAAACGAUUAAUUCUGAAUCAACCCUUAAAACAAAAGACUGAUCCAGUUGCACAAGAUGCUGACUGAUCUACUUCCAGCACUUAGUUUUUCAUCACUGAACAGUGGUCUGCCAUGAGAUUGGACUGCACACCUUUUUUUCUGGAGGAGCACUUUCUAUCUGGAUCCAGAUCUCUGUGGCACUUCUGGACUUUGACCAUUUCAACUUAAUGUUUCCUCUGAUGUUUUUCUUUACAGUUGUGUGGACUAACCAUUGCUCUGAGCAGGGGAUUCUUACACCGCCCGAAAACUGUGCGGCACUUCAAUUAUUUUUUCCUGUAAUAUCCAUAUUUCGGCGUCAUGUUCAGCAGGCUGGCAGUUUAUUAACAACGAGAUCCCGCAACCCACCUGGAUCGAAGGGGUGCUAUACAGAUCAGCACUGGACCAUGGUUGAGAAGAGAAGUACAAGAAAUACAAUACAAUUUAUGAAAAACUAUAUAUAAACAAAGACAACAAACAAGUGGAAAUUCAUGUUCAAGUUUAUUGGCAUCUGACUGCACAUGUAUACAACCAAAUGAAGCAAUGUUCCUCCAGACUGCGGUACACCCACACAGCAUAUAUCACACACAGCACGUAAAAGAAAAUAUUACUACAAAUAAGUUAAUAAAAUAUAAAACAACAUGCAUGUAGUUCACAGCAUUGGUGAACAGUAAACAGUGGCCAGUAACAGUAAACACCUCACCGUCCCAGUGACGAGACCAUGGUGGUGGCAGUGAGUUCAUUAAUCUCACAGCCUGAGGGAAGAAGCUGCUCCUGUACCUCCUUCCUGACAGUAAUGGGUCAGAGAGAUUGUGGGAUGGGUGGUAGGGAUCCUCAACGAUGCUUCAGGUGCCUCAUCCACAAUGCCCUGGUAAAAUGUCACAAGCAGUGGGGAGGGAGAUCUUAGUGAUACCCGUGACAGUUUUCACUAACCUUGCUUUGCAGCUUCCAUCUCACACAAUGAUGCAGUCAUGCUUGAUGGUGCCCCUGUAGGAAAUUGUAGGAAAGGGUGCAGGGAGACUUGCACACCUCAAAAGAGCCAUCGAAUAGUACAGCACAGAAAUAGGCCCGAUUGCCCAUCUAAUCUAUGCUGAACCAUUUAAACUGCCUACUCCCUUCAUCCAGCACUGGGACCAAAGCCAACCUUGUACCUAUCCAAAGUCCUCUUAAACGUUGUGCCGGCAGCUCGUUCCAUACUCUCACGACCCUUUGAGUAAAGAAGUUUCCCUUCGUGUUCCCCUCAAACUUUUUGCCUUUCACCCUUAACUCACGACCUCUGGUUGUCGUCCCACCCAACCUCAGUGGAAAAAGGCCUGCUUCCAUUUAUCCUAUCUAUAACCCUCAUAAUUUUGCAUAUCUUUAUCAAAUCUCAAUUAUCUCCAUCCCAAGGAAUGAAGUCCUAACCUGUUCAAUCUUUCCUUAUAAGAGGCAUUGAUCAUGUGGAUAGUCAGAGGCUUUUUCCCAUGGCUGAAAUGGCUAACACGAGAGGGCACAGUUUUAUGGUGCUUGGAAGUAGGUACAGGGGGAUGUCAGGGGUAAGUUUUUUACGCAGAGAGUGGUGAGUGUGUGGAAUGGGCUGCCAGCGACUGUGGUGGAGACAGAUACAAUAGGGUCUUUUAAGAAGCUCCUGGAGCUUAGAAAAAUAGAGGACUAUGGAUAACCCUAGGUAACGUCAUGUAAGUACAUGUUUGGCACAGCAUUGUGGGCCGAAGGGCCUGUAUUGUGCUGUAGGUUUUCUACGUUCUAUUAUAACUUAGAUCCUCCACUCCCGGGAACAAGCUUGUAAAUUUUCCUCAAUUUCCUCAGGAAGUGUAGACACUGCUGUGCCUUCUUGACGACUGAAGAGGUGUUGUGGGUCCACCAACAACACUGCAACAUAUUUAAAAUAUGCCAUUUGUGGAGGUGGUGUUUCAUUGCUGCAUUCCCUUGCCAGCACAACAUUGUGUUUGAACUGGCAAGCAUCGGAAAAUAACCUUUUGAAACAACACAAUCAUUGCAAUAUAAAACACCCGAUGAUCAGUGUGGACAGUGUGGUUAAAAAGGUCUCUCCGGCAUCACCAGUCGAGCUGCAGUAGGUGUCUUGUUUGAUAAUGUAACAAGGAAGGAGGCUGAGAGCAGAGAUUAGUGCCCUGAUGUUAUUUAUCUAUCUAUCAGCGUGGACUGGGUCUUCCAGCCCUUCAAGUUGUGCCAUGCAGCUAAACCCCCAAUUUAAUCCUAGCCUAAUCACAGGGCAAUUUACAAUGACCAAUUCAUCUACCAGUCGGUGUGGUUUUGGAAUGUGGGAGGAAACCAAAGCACAUGGAGGAAAUGCACGUGGUCACAGAGAGAACGUACAAGUUGUCUGAGUAGAAGAAUGUGGAAGUUCUGGUGGAAGCAGCUGAAGAAAGGAGGGAGCAACACAAACAGAAUGCUGGAGGAGCUCAGCAGUCCAAGCAGCAUCUAUGGAAAAGAGUAAAUUGACGUUAGAGCUGAGACCCUUCGAAGACUCUUUAAGUCCUGCCAAAGGGUCUCGGCCUGAAACAUCGACUGUUUAACUCUUUUCCAUAGAUGUUGCCUGUCCUGCUGAGUUCCUCCAGCAUUUUGUGUGUGUUGCUGUGGAUUUCCAGCAACUGUAGAUUUUCUCUUUUUUGUUGAAGAAAGGAGAGCCUGGUUUGUGUAGGAGUGAUCGGCCUGGUGAGCUAUCUCCAGGAGGGCUUGAGACCCAGUGGCAGGAGAUCUGACAGUUCUCUCCACGGCUCCUGAGACAUUCGGUUGGUGCUACAGAAAAAGCUGAUGACUAGUUUGGCUACAUCAAGAUCAGGCCCCCUGCUCAAUUUUCUCUCUUCUUUGAAUGAGUGCCUGCUGUAGGAAUGCAAAUAAUGUGGUGCACUCAACAAUGUUGUUUGAUUGUAAUUAGGUAGUGUAGUAGUUAGUAUAAUCCUAUUACAGCGACAGCUGUAAGUUCAGGGUUCCGUUCCUGCCGCUGUCUCUAAGCAGUCUGUACAUUCUUGCUGUGAAUGUGUGGAUUUCCUCUGGAUGCUCUGGUUUCCUCCCAAUUUCCUAAAAGGCGUACGGUUAGGGUUAGUGAGUUGUGGGUAGGCUAUGUUGGCACCAGAAGUGUGGCAAUACUUGCGGACUGCCAUCGCAAUCAUUGCUGAUUUGGUUUGAUGUAAACGAUGCCUUUUAUUGUACCUUUUGGUGUACAUGUGACAAAUAGAGCUAAUCUGGUCUUGGGUCUUUACUGCUGGGAUAUUGGCCCUGGUGAGGAUACUGAUGGUGGUUUGCUAAUUGGUUUUGGAGGAUUUUUGCAAAGGCCGGUGUUUUGAGGGUCCAGAGCUCAGAAAUAUGCAGGAGGCCUGAAAUCUCUACUCCCUGUAGACCGUGAACAUUUUGCUAGGGUUGAACUCUUGAUCUCUACUCUUCUUUUCAGGUGGCUGAAGGUUGUGUUGGCACAUCUCAGAGGCGCUUCCCUUGGUGAUCUAGAUUUAAGAUCAGAGGCGAGAUAUUUUAGAAAGAACAUUAGGCGUAGCCUCAGGCAAAGGGUGGUGUGCCUUUGCAAUGAGCUGCAAGAAAUAGCGGCUGAGGCGGGUACAUUGAAUGUACGGUAGCCAAGAGUGGUGAUGCUUUAAAUUCAGGAUACUCAAGACCAGAAAUGGGUUACCACUGAUAUCACAGUGGGUUAUAGGGUUGGAGGAGGAAAGGAAAGAUUUUAAAACAACAAUAAACCUUAAUUUUAAAAUGUUCAUUACAGUAGAUCAGUAAACGGGAUGAGUCAGACUUGGGUUGGGACAACAGAAUUUAGAAUGACCUCCUGUUGUUAGAGUUGAACGAGGACAGCAUGGAGUCUCACUACCACUUCUCUCAUCGAGGACUGAUGCACCAUCAAUAACUCUCAGAGACGGGAGGCAAACGACAGGCUUUUACUAGCUGCAAGAAAUGACCACACAACAUCCUGGAGACUGAGGGGGGAGCAGUGCCUCCAAUCGCCUUUAUACAGGGGUCUGUGGGAGGAGCCACAGGAGCAGGGGCGUGUCCAGACAGGUAUAUGUAGUUCACCAGAAGGACUGGCCUCACAAACUAGCUCAUUGACCCAGCUGCCCCUGCAUCUCCAUGUGGCAUUGUUGAGGUUGGAGUUGCUUAAGUCCCAAAUAAAGAUUUCACUAGUAGUGAUCUGGGGGUGGGUGACUGGGGUUACUGGGGUAGAAACGGAUCAUCAUAGUUAUGGCGUGGACCUGUCCGAAACUCAAUUCAGGGGAAACCUUGACUGAAAGAGUCAGGGGUGGCACAGUUUCACAGAGCUGUUACAGAGACAGCAACCCGGCUUCAGUUAUACUGCUGACUUAAAGGACUUUGUAUGUUCUCCCCACGACCGCUUGUUUUUCUUCUGGUGCUCCAACUUCCUCCAGCGGUUCAAAGACGUACAGGUGAGUAGGUUAAUUGGUCACGUGGGUGUAAUCGGGCGGGAGUUACCUGGCUGUUUCUCUAAAUAAAUAAAGAGCACAAAUACUCCGAUUUGGGGAGAGAUAGAAUGGGUGUCUAUGGUGUGGUGUUCUUGAGCUAGACACAACCACUCCCUCCGUUAGAAUACUACUUGGAGGGAACUUCUCCACUUCCCCAAUUAGAUGUUGGAUAAGCAAUCUUACAAUGCAGCGAGAGUGCAGGAGUCAAAAGAGAUGUUAUGAGCCGAGCGAGGCUGGGAGUUACAUGAACUGACACUGUGUUUCCACAUAAUGUUGGUUCCAAAUAUUGACAGAUUUCCUUUCUCUUGCUGUAUUAGGGACUUUGUCAGGAUUUAAAAUUUUAUUUCAUGGGAGAGUUAAGGUGGACCCCCAUUAAGUGUGUUUCCUUUUAAUUAACAAUAUGCUACUUAUACUCACAGCACAUUCCUGUAGCUAUUUUUUGAAUGCAGUUACACAGAUUGUUGUCUCCUGCACUCUGGUUGAAAGCCCUAGUUUGACGUUCAUUCAUUGAUUCUGUUACAGAUGCUGUUCUAUAGAUCAGAUCGUAGAGUGUGCUGACAAGAAAAUGAAUCUCAGGGUUGUACGUGGUUGUCCCUCAAGGUCUGAGGAAGAAUACACAUUGUGCAGUCUCCUGUGGCUACGCAUGUGGCUUCGGAGGCCGAAGCACACACGUGGCUGCAGGUUGGACAUGGAAUGGCAGUUGUUGGAACAGGGGCAUACACAGCUUUGUGGCGUCAGCCUCGUGCUCUGCAAGGCACUGAUUUCGGUCAUCCCCAAAGUCAGAUGCAGCUUUUCUGGUCGGGCGUGCUGUGCAGCCCCGUCGGCGGCAGACUCCUCAAGCUGUCGAGGCCGGAGGUCUGCCCGUUUGGCGUACAAUCUCAAAUUGUAUAUAUGUACUUUGAUAAUAAAUUUACUUUGAACUUUAAUGAACACUACAGAGAACUCUGUACAGAAACAUGGACUGGGUUAGGUUCUAACCUUGCUGGGAAGUUCAGUCUGGAAGAGAAUAUCAAAUCAGAAAUGAGCAUGAAUCUGAGAACCCCCUGCUUGUUUAAGACAGCGAUAAACUUGUUUCAGAAUUAUGGAGAACCCUUGAAUAAAAAAACAAACAAAAAGAAAUAAUCCUUUCCUCCACUUCAGAUAUGAUGUAUACCAGUUUAAUCUGUGAGGGUGAGCUCAUUAUAAACUAGUUUUUAUUUGGAGAAUCAGUACAGUAACAGAUCCAUCCAGCCCAAUGGGCCCAGACCACAUUACAUGUGGCCAAUUAACCUACUAACUGGUACGUCUAUGGGAUGUGGGAAGAAACCAGUGCACCCAGAGGAAACCCAUGCAGUCACAGGAAAAAUGCACAAACUCCUUACAGACGGCGGGAAAUGAACCUGGAUCUUGGCAUUGUAUUGGUAUUAUGCUUACGAGGAGGCAUAGUUUUAAGGUGCUUGGAAAUAGGUACCGAGGGGAUGUCAGGGGUAAGUUUUUCACACAGAGAGUGGUGUGUGUGUGGAAUGCACUGCCAGCGGCGGUGGUGGAAGCAGAUACAAUUGGGUCGUCUAAGGCCCUCUUACAUGGAGUUUAGAAAAAUAGAGGGCAAUGUGCUAGGAAAAUUCUAUGCAGUCUCUAGAGUAGGAUACAUGGUUAGCACAGCAUUGUGGGCCGAAAGGCCUGUAAUGUGCUUUAGAUUUCUGUGUUCUAUGUUCUAACUGCUACAUCUCAAAGAUGAAGAAGAAUACUAAAGGGAAAUGAGGCAACUGGGGCUGACAGGGGAAGUGAACUACAGUAUUAAAGGGAAUCAGAAGGCAUAUAAUAUAGCCAAAAUUAGUGGGAAGUUAGAACUCGGAAAGUUUUAACAACAGGGCACUAAAAAGCCGUAAGGAGAGAAAAGCUGAAAUAUGAAGGUGAGCUAGCCAAUAAUAUCAAAGAGAGUACCAAAAGAUUUUUCAGGUGCAAUAUAUAAAGAGUAAAAGGGAGACAAGAUUGGAUAUUGGUCCAAUGGAAAAUGAUGCUGGAGAGGUAGAAAUGGGGUCAAAGAAAUGGCAAAUUAAUUUAAUAAGUAUUUUCUGUCAGUCUUCACAUGGCAAACACUAGCAGUGUGCCAGAUAUUUGAGAGGGUCAGGGACAGAAUUGAGUGUGGUUGCUCUUACUAAAAGGAGAGGGUGCUUGGGAAUCUGAAAAGUCUGAAGGUAGAUGGGUCACCUGGGCCAGAUGGAGUAAACUCCAGGGUUCUGAAAGAGGUGGCUGAAGAGAUAGUGGAGGCAUUAGUAAUGAUCUUUCAAGAAUCACUAGAUCCUAGCACAGUUCCUGAGGAGUGGGAAAUUGCCAAUGUCAUUCCAUUCUUUAAGGGAAGGAGGGAGAAGAAAGGAAACUAUAGGCUAGUUAGCACAUCUACAUGAAGCAUUGUUGCAGGAAAUCAGCAUCCAUCAUCAAGGGCCCCUGCCCAGGCUACGCUCUCUUUUCACUACUGCCAUCAGGAAGAAGGUACAGGAGCCCCAGGACUCACACCACCAGGUUCAGAAACAGUUACUAUCCCUCAAACACCAGGCUCUUGAACCAGAGGGGAUGACUUCACUCACCCCAACACUGAGCUGCUCCCACAAACUAUGGACUCACUUUUGAGGACUCUUCAACUCAUGUUCUUGAUGUCUGGAAUCAGCGUUGAUCAGGAACAGUGAAUAUAGGAGGAGGUACUUUUCCCUGAGGUCUUUGGCACUGUUAUCAAGGCACCAGCAGUAGAAAUGUAAUCUGCGUUUACACAUCGAUUUCAAUUUGACUGUC